UCACUUUUCUUUUAAUUAACCACAUAUCAAUUUGCUUUACUUUUUUCGGAUUCAGUUCACUUUUAUCGGAGCUUUAGACAUGAAUACACUAAAAAUUUCAAAAUUAUGGUGCGGCGGAAAGAAAAUUAUUUGGAAACCAAGUUGUGCUAGCUACUGACACUGAUAACUGCAAAGAAAUGCUAAAUGUAACAUGGACUUAAUCGAUGGCUACGGGUUAGUUAAUCAUUUUCCCUUGGACGAUCGUCCUCAGUUUUGGAAAGCUUUUCCGGCCCAGGAGGAAGGAUAAGCCUGUCUGCGAAAAUAGGACAGGAUCAAAGGAACGAAGUGUUCUUCGACUCUCAACCUGUCAGGAGGAUAUACUGAUCGGUUGCCGAUACCACUUCCUGCCAAAGAAAGCGAGGAAAUGAAAGAUAUCCUCAAUUUGGAGUGCCACGAAAACGAUUUUGAGUCUGAUGAAGAGAAAGGGUUCCUGGAAUUGCCGUUCUUUAAGGAGGGCCCCGGCUUUUCAUCAGAAGAAAAGGAGUGGUUGCCCAAUUUCCACUCCAUUGAGGAGUUCAAAUUUCAUAUCAUCGACUUGUAGUCCGUCGAAAAAAGUCCAGAUGUCAAAUUUAGAAAUAAAAAUGUUAUAUUCUAGAAA
This is a long non-coding RNA of Drosophila serrata, 637 nucleotides long. RefSeq lists it as uncharacterized. The record is from RefSeq and is a predicted model, not a curated record. NCBI's taxonomy places the organism in Eukaryota, Metazoa, Arthropoda, Insecta, Diptera, Drosophilidae.